GGGGCGCUGAAGAAUCCCUCUGGUGGCCAGAUUUUAUCUUCAGUUGAUGGGCGUAGGUAGGCCCUUUAGCCCCAACCUUCGUUGUCGCUUGAUGGAGUCUUAGCGUCGUUGGUGAAUUUGGAGGUUUUGGGCUCUUGGCUAUAGAGUCAUGAGGUUUUUGUUUGUUUGUUUCUUUGUGUUAGCCUCAGGUUUGUUAUGAAGGUAACGAACAAGUAGCCUUUGGAUCUCGUACUGUUGGUUGCUGUGGAUUUCGAGGUUGAGACCCAGUAGCUCAAGAGUGGAGCAUUUCAGCAGGACAUGCAUUGUUGUUUCAUUCUCCUCUUCACAGUUUCUGCACGUUGGGUGGAUAUGGUUAUUAAAACGGGCUAGGUUUGCUUUGAGCCUGUUGUGGCCUGUUCUUAGCCUGUACAGUACCCUGGAGAUGUAUCUGGAUUUGUGUGCGUGCCAUUUAAGUGGGCCAGUUCUGUUCCUCCUCUGUAAGUUAUCUUUCUCGUUGUCUUUUUGCAGUUCAGUCAUGCUUAUUUUGUUUAGGUAUGCCCUGAAGAUGGAGCUUUGUUCUGUGGCAGAUAGUUGGUUACUGAUGAGUCUGCCGAUGUCUGGUCUUGAGCUUUCUUCUGAUGCUAGCUUAUCUGCCUUUUCGUUUCCUGCUAUUCCAAUAUGGCUUGGCACCCAGUAGAGAUUGACUUUGGUACCUGCACUUUUUAGUGUUUCAGCUGUGCUAAGGAUAGUAUUAAUAAU
This is a long non-coding RNA of Daphnia magna, 738 nucleotides long. RefSeq lists it as uncharacterized. The transcript has 3 exons. The record is from RefSeq and is a predicted model, not a curated record. NCBI's taxonomy places the organism in Eukaryota, Metazoa, Arthropoda, Branchiopoda, Diplostraca, Daphniidae.